UACGAAGGGGGCUAGCGUUGCUCGGAAUAAUUGGGAGUAAAGGGUGCGUAGGCGGGUUUUUAAGUGAGGGGUGAAAUCCUGGAGCUCAACUCCAGAACUGCCUUUGAUACUGAAGAUCUUGAGUUCGGGAGAGGUGAGUGGAACUGCGAGUGUAGAGGUGAAAUUCGUAGAUAUUCGCAAGAACACCAGUGGCGAAGGCGGCUCACUGGCCCGAUACUGACGCUGAGGCACGAAAGCGUGGGGAGCAAACAGG
This 253-nucleotide ribosomal RNA is filed under the name uncultured bacterium. RNAcentral describes it as "partial 16S ribosomal RNA". It matches the Rfam family "Bacterial small subunit ribosomal RNA", at positions 524 to 776 of the family's 1533-position model. The record is from RNAcentral.